GGGGUAGCCAAAUGCCUCGU
RNAcentral lists this unclassified non-coding RNA (20 nucleotides) under Dictyostelium discoideum. The record is from RNAcentral. Lineage: Eukaryota; Evosea; Eumycetozoa; Dictyosteliales; Dictyosteliaceae.